RNAcentral lists this ribosomal RNA (238 nucleotides) under uncultured bacterium. Its description in RNAcentral is "partial 16S ribosomal RNA". It matches the Rfam family "Bacterial small subunit ribosomal RNA", at positions 96 to 334 of the family's 1533-position model. The record is from RNAcentral.
CGGCGAACGGGUGAGUAACACGUGGGUGACCUGCCCUUAGCUCUGGGAUAAGCCUGGGAAACUGGGUCUAAUACCGGAUAUGACUCCAUGACGCAUGUUGUGGGGUGGAAAGCCUUGUGCGGCUAGGGAUGGGCCCGCGGCCUAUCAGCUUGUUGGUGGGGUAAUGGCCUACCAAGGCGACGACGGGUAGCCGGCCUGAGAGGGCGACCGGCCACACUGGGACUGAGACACGGCCCAG